Molecule: ribosomal RNA, 459 nt
Filed under: uncultured bacterium
Lineage: Bacteria
Description: partial 16S ribosomal RNA
Rfam family: Bacterial small subunit ribosomal RNA
Source: RNAcentral
AAUGAACGCUGGCGGCAGGCCUAACACAUGCAAGUCGAACGAGAAGCCACCUUCGGGUGGUGGACAGUGGCAGACGGGUGAGUAACGCGUGGGAACGUGCCUUUCGGUUCGGGAUAACCCAGGGAAACUUGGGCUAAUACCGGAUACGCCCUUCGGGGGAAAGAUUCAUUGCCGAAAGAUCGGCCCGCGUCGGAUUAGCUAGUUGGUGGGGUAAAAGCCUACCAAGGCGACGAUCCGUAGCUGGUCUGAGAGGAUGACCAGCCACACUGGGACUGAGACACGGCCCAGACUCCUACGGGAGGCAGCAGUGGGGAAUAUUGGACAAUGGGCGCAAGCCUGAUCCAGCCGUGCCGCGUGGGUGAAGAAGGCCUUAGGGUUGUAAACCCCUUUCAGCGGGGAAGAUAAUGACGGUACCCGCAGAAGAAGUCCCGGCUAACUCCGUGCCAGCAGCCGCCGUAA